RNAcentral lists this ribosomal RNA (440 nucleotides) under uncultured bacterium. Its description in RNAcentral is "partial 16S ribosomal RNA". It matches the Rfam family "Bacterial small subunit ribosomal RNA", at positions 338 to 795 of the family's 1533-position model. The record is from RNAcentral.
CCUACGGGAGGCAGCAGUGGGGAAUAUUGCACAAUGGGGGAAACCCUGAUGCAGCGACGCCGCGUGAGCGAUGAAGUAUUUCGGUAUGUAAAGCUCUAUCAGCAGGGAAGAAAAUGACGGUACCUGACUAAGAAGCCCCGGCUAACUACGUGCCAGCAGCCGCGGUAAUACGUAGGGGGCAAGCGUUAUCCGGAUUUACUGGGUGUAAAGGGAGCGUAGACGGUCCUACAAGCCAGAUGUGAAAGCCAGGGGCUCAACCCCGGGACUGCAUUUGGAACUGUAAGGCUAGAGUGUCGGAGAGGCAGGCGGAAUUCCUAGUGUAGCGGUGAAAUGCGUAGAUAUUAGGAGGAACAUCAGUGGCGAAGGCGGCCGCCUGGCACAAAACUGACGCUGAGGUGCGAAAGCGUGGGUAGCAAACAGGAUUAGAUACCCGUGUAGUC